This 497-nucleotide ribosomal RNA is filed under the name uncultured bacterium. Its description in RNAcentral is "partial 16S ribosomal RNA". It matches the Rfam family "Bacterial small subunit ribosomal RNA", at positions 28 to 507 of the family's 1533-position model. The record is from RNAcentral.
GAUGAACGCUGGCGGCGUGCCUAAUACAUGCAAGUCGAGCGAACAGAUGAGGAGCUUGCUCCUCUGACGUUAGCGGCGGACGGGUGAGUAACACGUGUAUAACCUACCUAUAAGACUGGGAUAACUUCGGGAAACCGGAGCUAAUACCGGAUAAUAUAUUGAACCGCAUGGUUCAAUAGUGAAAGACGGUUUUGCUGUCACUUAUAGAUGGAUCCGCGCCGCAUUAGCUAGUUGGUAAGGUAACGGCUUACCAAGGCAACGAUGCGUAGCCGACCUGAGAGGGGGAUCGGCCACACUGGAACUGAGACACGGUCCAGACUCCUACGGGAGGCAGCAGUAGGGAAUCUUCCGCAAUGGGCGAAAGCCUGACGGAGCAACGCCGCGUGAGUGAUGAAGGUCUUCGGAUCGUAAAACUCUGUUAUUAGGGAAGAACAAAUGUGUAAGUAACUAUGCACGUCUUGACGGUACCUAAUCAGAAAGCCACGGCUAACUACGUG